CACUCCGGUGGCAUAGUAGUUAGAGCAUCCGCCUCAGAUGCGGAAGGUCGCGGGUGCGAUCCCCAGCCGAGUCA
Potamilus streckersoni is the source of this 74-nucleotide non-coding RNA. Lineage: Eukaryota; Metazoa; Mollusca; Bivalvia; Unionida; Unionidae. The record is from the annotation of a GenBank genome assembly.